GAUUAGCAGAGAUUGCAUCCAGGCUCAAGGACUUUGGAAAUCAGCGAUUCCGUUUUUGUCCGUAGGUUAUUACUUAACCUACCUUGUAUGAUAUCGGCUUAGUUUAGUGUUGCUCUGAUAAACCUUUCUUUUAAGUUGGAUGGAGGUUGUUGUUUGGUUUGUUGUUACUUACGGAGGAUUAUGUUGGGAUUUGAACUUUCUGGAUGUAAUAUAUAUGUGCUUGGAUUGUAAAUUUGAUAUCGUAGGUUGAGUAGAAGAUAUAGUUGAAAUCAUGUCCAGGUUUGUGAAAUUUUGGGUAACCCAUUUUUAGGGGAGGUUCUGCCGAAUUUUCGGUAGGAUUUCACUUAAAGUGGGCCCCGCAGGCUCGUAUCCAGGUAAGUGGGGCGAUUCCUGGGUCGGGUCCUGUCACACCUGGGUAAAUUUCUUAAAAGACAAGACGGAAACGUUUGAAUCUUUUAAAAACUUGAGUCAAAAAUUGAUCAUUGAAAAGAAGUCAUCAAAUGCUAGCAUAGUGAGGGUAAGAUCGGAUAAUGGUACUGAAUUUAAAAAUGCCUCUUUCUCUAACUAUUUUCAUGAGCUUGGUGUGUCUCAUGAGCUCUCAGCUCCAAUCACUCCACAGCAAAAUGGCAUUGUGGAAAGGAAAAAUAGGGUAUUGCUGGACAUGGCUCGAGUAAUGUUGCAUGCUGCAGGCUUAAGCACAAACUUUUGGGCUGAGGCUAUCAGUACUGCUUGUUAUACUAUAAACAGAGUAUUCUUCAGACCAGGUACUGAUCAAACAGCUUAUGAGUUGUGGAAAGGUAAAAAGCUAAAUGUUGGAUACUUUCACAUUUUUGGCAGCCCUUGCUACAUUUUACGUGAUAGAGAACAUCUUGGAAAAUUUGAUGCUAGAAGUGACGAUGGUGUUUUCUUGGGAUAUUCUCUGAACAGUAGAGCUUAUAGGGUUUACAAUAAAAGAACCCGAGUUGUUAUGGAAUCCAUUAAUGUUUCUAUUGAUGAUCAAUGUGUAAAACAGGAAGAAUCAUAUGCAGAUCCAUCACCCUCCUCUAUCACUCCACCACUAAUUGCAGAAGCUUCAUCUGAUGAAGAGGAAGAGGAGAUUCCCGACAACAUUUUUGAACCAGCUCCCAUCCAAAGGAAAGGAUUCAAGCAAUUUCAAAAGGAUCACUCCUCUCAAGAUAUCAUCGGAAAUCUGAAAGAUGGACUGACAACAAGGAGAAAAGCUACAGCUCAGGUAAGUACCUCUGAGGUAAGUGAAGGAAGUGCAUUGCUAUGUUUUAUUACUGAAAAUCUGCUAAGCAUGAACAUUAUAUCUCACUUUGGUUUUGUGUCUAUUGUUGAACCAAAAAAUAUUAAGGCAGCUUUAUUGGAUGAUAACUGGAUUAGUGCCAUGAAGGAUGAGCUCAAUCAAUUUACUAGGAAUGAUGUGUGGUACUUGGUACCUCGACCUAGUAAAUGCAAUGUUAUAGGAACUAAGUGGAUUUUUAGAAACAAAAGUGAUGAAAAAGGGAAUGUGGUUAGAAACAAAGCUCGACUAGUAGCUCAAGGAUACUCUCAGAUUGAAGGUCUUGACUUUGACGAGACAUUUGCUCCUAUGGCUAGAUUAGAAUCAGUUAGAUUACUCCUCUCUAUAGCUUGUCAUCUUAGGUUCAAACUGUUUCAAAUGGAUGUCAAAACUGCUUUUCUAAAUGGGAACCUUCAGGAAGAAGUUUAUGUGGAAUAGCCACCAGGUUUCCAAGAUCCACAUAACUUAGAUCAUGUCUACCGUCUCAAGAAGGCUCUGUAUGGGCUAAAGCAGGCUCCCCGAGCCUGGUAUGAGAGGCUCUCCACUCAUCUUGUGGGAAAAGGGUAUGCUAGAGGGUCUAUUGAUAAAACAUUGUUUGUAAAACGAACCAAAAAUGAUAUUAUCAUUGCCCAAGUGUAUGUUGAUGACAUUGUCUUUGGUUCCUCUUCUAGAUAUCUUGUCAAAGAAUUCCAAUCUGUCAUGGAAAGUGAGUUUGAAAUGAGCAUGUGUGGUGAACUAACUUUCUUUCUUGGACUGCAAGUAAGGCAGAUAGACACAGGUUUGUUUCUCUCUCAAACAAAAUACGCUAAAAAUCUGAUCAAGAAAUUUGGUCUUGAAUCUAAGAAGACAGUGAGCAAUCCCAUUAGUACCACUAUUAAGCUGAGCGAAGACCAGAAUGGGAAAUCAGUUGAUCACACACUAUAUCGCAGCAUGAUAGGUAGUUUGCUCUAUCUCACUGCCAGCAGACCUGACAUAUCUUACAGUGUAGGAGUGUGCGCACGCUUUCAAGCUAAUCCUAAAGAAUCACACUUGGAAGCUGUCAAGAGAAUCAUUCGCUAUAUAUCAGGUACAGUUGACUGUGGAAUUUUCUAUACCUUUGAUACUAACGUGGAAAUUGCAGGAUAUUCUGACGCUGACUGGGGAGGAAACUUAAAGGAUAGAAAAAGUACCUCCGGGGGAUGUUUCUUCAUUGGCAACAAUCUGGUUGCCUGGCAUAGCAAGAAACAAAAUUGCAUCUCUCUAUCUACUGCAGAAGCUGAGUAUGUUGCAGCUGGGAGUUGUUGCACGCAAAUGCUGUGGAUGAAACAAUUGCUUCAUGAUUAUGGCAUUCCGAAAGGUUUGUCAAUUAACUUGUAUUUCUCACCAUGGUUCGCACAAAGCACACAACUCGACUUGGUGGACAUCGCCGCCUGCCUCAUCUAGAGGAAGGCCGUCAGGCCGCCAUCCGGGCCGGGAUUCUCCAUCCCGGCAUGCAGCGUGAACGUAGUCGGAGCCCUCCUCUUCACUCCUCAACGCCUGGUGCCUCUUCUGCUGCUCCUCCUCCUGUCUCUCUGGAUAGUCUCAGUGACCAGAUCCUGGUAGCUGACUGGAGAAUUGCCUGCCUCACUAUGGACAUGGACGACAUGCAUUCCCUUCUGGUUCGUACUAGUCAUGCUCUGACCAACCUCACACAGGAGAUCCGGAACAUGCAGCGUCACCCUCCCGGGUUUGACGCUCCCGCUCCCUCCACCGCUGUUCCAGCAGCAGUCGCCCCUGCAGAGACCUCAACUUCCAUGGACAGCGAGGAGUUUCAGGAUCAUGUCGUCAAGCUUAUGGAGGAAGUCGAAGGGCAUUCCCGUUCAAAGGGGGAGAAGUAAACUCUUUUUAUUUUUCUGUUUUUUUUUUUUAUGCUUUCUGCAGUUUAAUUUCAAUCAAACAAUAUUUUUUUUAUGGGUUGUAAGUGCAUAAGCACAGAUAUUUUUCUUGGAUGCUUUUGGUUAUUUAGUAAGUUUAUUUUGGCUACUUGGAUCUGGAAAAGGAUGGAAACUGAUUCCUUAAUCCAAGUAGUAUCCUUUGUUUAGUGACUAGUGUUUAUUUGUGAUAACUAACAUGCAGGACAAAAAGCUUGAAAAAUCAUGUGUUGAAUGGGAAUGCCCAAAGGGGGAGAUUGUAAGUAUUUUGGGCUGUUCACCAUUCAAUACAUGAUUUCCCUUUUGUCACAAGAAAACCGGAGCAUUAAGGAAACAAAGAUAAAGGAUCAAAGGAUCGGAUCUUGAAGAGAAGAUUAGGCCAAAUUAAGUCAUUGAUCUUGAGUUUAAUAUGUUUUGAUUCCAUAUCUUUUUGAUGCUUUUUGAUUGAUAUGCAUAUCAAUCAAUUUGAUUCAAAUCUAUUAUGCAUUAAAGAGGGAUUUAAACUUGCAUAUCAAUUUGAGAUCUUGGUUAGGAAAGUUUCGGCUCAUUCAAAAAUUUUUUUAAAACCUUUCUAUAAUUUUCUUAAAUUAUUUAUUAAGAAAAGAUUUGAUUGAGGGGGUGAGUUUCUCCCCUAUAAAAGGUUUCUAAACGAAAGUUAGCGUGGUGGUUUUUCUUUUUUGAUUACACAAAAAUUGCUCUAGAUUGAUUAGAGUUGUUCAUAUCGUUUUUCUAGAAAAACCCUCUUUAUGUGUUUCAUGUAUUCCAUUGCAAAAUCAUUUCAUACUUAUUCUCAAGAUCGUGAUUUAAAUUGACAGCACGAAAAGUUGAAGGUUAAGUAUCUUGAAUGUUGUAUUAGGAGUUAGAACAGUUGUAAAACAAGUUGGCAUGUGUUGCUAAGUGAGAGUGUUUGUUAAGAACAACACGACUUGUAUUCUGUAAA
Molecule: RNA transcript, 4111 nt
Organism: Rosa chinensis
Lineage: Eukaryota; Viridiplantae; Streptophyta; Magnoliopsida; Rosales; Rosaceae
Gene name: secreted RxLR effector protein 161
Exons: 2
Source: RefSeq, a predicted model, not a curated record